Molecule: long non-coding RNA, 1756 nt
Filed under: Marmota monax (woodchuck)
Lineage: Eukaryota; Metazoa; Chordata; Mammalia; Rodentia; Sciuridae
Source: RNAcentral
GUGGGGGUGGCAAGAAAGAAGAGAAAAUAAAAGGAAAUCAGAAAUUCCUAAUAGCUAUAACUGUCACUGACAUGAGCAUUAAGAGAACUGGACAUCCCAGUUUGGGCAUGUAUGAAAAUUCCAAAAAUUGAGCAGAUACAUAUAUACUACACUAAGUAGUUCCAUAGAAGGAUCUAUAUCAAUAUACUUGGUUGCCAAUAGCUAUUAAUGAAGUGUGCUUUCCCAAAGCAGUUGACAAUAGACUUUCUUAGUGAUUAGUAAAUGAUGGGAUCAUGUUUCAUAUUUAAAGCAAAUUUCUAGUCACAGAGUGUUAAUUUGCAGAUCCAUAGUAUACUGGUUGGUUGGCAUGAAGGAGCUGUGUUUCUUUUGGCACAUACAAAUGUAAAAAUCAUUAUUUUUCAUUGUCAUCUUCAUAAUACUCAUUAUCAAAUUUGGAUGUGACUUCAUAGCUUUGUUCUUUGAGACUCAAGUGAAGGCCUGUAAGAUGUGGGGACAGAGAUGGACAAGGUGUGUAAGUCUCUGAAUCUCACCUGCAUGCACCUGUUGGUUCUCUGCUGAGUGACAAGAAUGCAGGAAAGCACAAGGUGAGCUGGGACAUUGCCUAGAAGAAUCCAUUUGAGUCAAAAAUUUGCAGAGGAGAAAUUCAUUUCAAGCUAGUAUCCUUGUUUCUAUUAAAACAAAUCCAGCUAUAUUAUGGAGUAAAAUGCAAAACUGUUAAUGAUUUUUUUCCAGCAAGAAUCAAGAACUUCAAAAAAAUUUCUCUCUUGCAGAGGGCUUUGAAAUGAAUUUCUUGGUCCUUAAGUGUAAAACAAAUGCUCACUCAUGCUCUUUAAACAUUUGCAGACCAGAUCCUUGCUUAACAAUCUCAUUUGACAUUAAAAAAAAAAAGCACAAAGAGAAAACCUGAUUUGUGAAUGUAAUUUGGCUUUAUACACCUUCCAUCUUCAAGUUAACCUUGGAUACUUGUUCUUGGCCAAUUAGAAAAUUCAGAGAAGGCAUGAUUGAAUGGCUUAUGGAAGAAUCUAAGAUGGUCCAUGAUCUUAGUCCCUGCUGUGCUACUAACCAAUGUGUGACUUAAGCAAGAGAUUUAGUCUCAGUCCCUCAGCAGUAGAAAUAUGUAUUUAAAAAGAAAGAAGGAAAUCUGAAUACUCAUACCACUUGCUGUGGAAACAGAUAACAGAUAGGAGUGAAGUCUGAAGUGCUGAAUGAGGAAAUGGAGCCCAAAGACUUGAGUCCAGCAGUUGAAAGCACUUUGCUAACUGAGAUGGGAGAUGGACUUGCCUUCAACAAAUUCAUCUCAAGCCGGUGUCCUUGGCUGCUGCUUCAUCUUCAUGGCCUGUGGUCGGUGAUUCACCAAACCACUUCCACUGCUAAACUUUGCUUUAUUCCUUGGCUGUGGGCUUCCUUCUAAUUCUGGCCCUUGGAUGCUAAAGGCAUACUCCAGGCUCCUGGAAGAAUGAGUCUCAGCAGGAAGGAAUCUCCUUAAAUCCACCCAUCACGGCUGGGAAAUGGCCCACCAGAGGGUGAGCUCCUUGAGUGCUAUGCAAGUGUCAGCUGUUGUUCUUGCCAUUUGCUCCCUAACCCUCUCAGGAGCGCCAGUAGGGAUGACAUCAAGAAUGUCACAUCCAUGCCUUCUUCUGUCUUACUAGAUAAAGACAUCAGAGCUUCAAGAAGUGCUUUAAUCUGUGUCAGUCCAUAUGAAUAUUUCCUCAUCCUCCUCUCCUGGUGGAUUCCUGUGACCUAUGCUUAUGACCCC